GCGUGAGUGAUGAAGGCCUUAGGGUUGUAAAGCUCUUUUACCCGGGAUGAUAAUGACAGUACCGGGAGAAUAAGCCCCGGCUAACUCCGUGCCAGCAGCCGCGGUAAUACGGAGGGGGCUAGCGUUAUUCGGAAUUACUGGGCGUAAAGCGCGCGUAGGCGGUUUUUCAAGUCAGAGGUGAAAGCCCGGAGCUCAACUCCGGAAUUGCCUUUGAAACUGGAUCACUAGAAUCAUGGAGAGGUCAGUGGAAUUCCGAGUGUAGAGGUGAAAUUCGU
This 275-nucleotide ribosomal RNA is filed under the name uncultured bacterium. RNAcentral describes it as "partial 16S ribosomal RNA". It matches the Rfam family "Bacterial small subunit ribosomal RNA", at positions 399 to 691 of the family's 1533-position model. The record is from RNAcentral.